GAGCAGCUCACUGCCAGGGACACCUGUUGGCACAGAGGGAGCUUGGAGUGGACUGAAAGGGAAUGUGAGAUGGAGAAGUGGACAAAGGGCCUUUGUACUGUCCUGAGGAACAGGAAGAAAAUGAGGACUGUACCUUAUGCUUCUGUGCCCUAGUGUCUCCCUCUUCAGGUUUCAAGCAGGAUGCCUAACAUAUCAAGAAGCAUUUAGCAAUCUUCCUAAUAAAUGCACACCACUGAAGAAAAUUAAGCAGCAGGGUCCGUCGCAAAGAAUGAUGAAAGAAGCUAAACCUGAGCUUCGGAAAACUGAAGAGCCCACUGCAAAAUCCUUCUCUUUGGAUCAGUCAGCUUUCUGAACUGUAGAUGGCAAAUCCCAUGAAACAGACACACUGGAAAGCCUGGAAAAGUCUAGAACUACAUCACAUGUCACAAUAAGUGACACCAACCUCCUACUUGAUGCCCAGAAGCUGCAGAACUGAGCCAGCCUAACACCUAGGAGUCCAAAAAAAAAGAACCAGCUCCUGCUCCUGGAUGACAGUCGCCUGGACCUGAGGUCUUCCCCACUAGUGAGCAACCUGACAGGGACCCCAGGCUGGGCUGCUGGGGUUUGAGAUUGACAGCAAAUCCCAAAAGUGCCUGCUUCUUACAGUUCUGUGCACUUCUCAGCUUCUUUGUAACUCUAGCCAGUCCCGAGUCAUGUCCUUGUUCCUAGAGCUUUAGCCAAAAGUCCCAGCUAUAGGAGGAUGGAAAUCUUGAAACUUGCUGAGAUGCCUCCUUGCGUUUUGUGGGGGGCAACCCAGCUUGCAAUGGCAGGACUAUAAAAAUGAGAUAGAGAAAGGAAGUGAUAUUUAUCAAGUACACACUAUGAGCCAGGUUUCUUUUCAUACAUGAUCCCAUUUAAUCGUUAAGACCUUGUAAGGCAGUGUUAUUAUCCCUGUGUACAGAUUAGGAAGAAAAACACAGAAAGGCAGCACAGCUUCAAGUUGUAAAGUGGCAAUCUGAACCCAGCCUGGUUGACUCCAAAGCCUGAUUCCAAAAACUGUUGGUAUUCAUUGAUAGCAAAUCCUAGAACCUGAGAGCUGGGAGAGGUGUCAGAGAUCGUGUGGCCCAACCCUUCAAACUCAGGGGGAAGAAACAGGGUCCCAAGAGCUGAAGCCACGUGUCCAAAGCCACAGUGAUAUUUGUUUGCUGUCUUAGCAUGCUGCUAUAAAAGUUGGUAAAUUAAAACAUCACCCAUAUAUUCGUCACAGUUUCUGUGGGUCAGAAGUCCAGCCACGGGGUGGCUCAGUAGGUUCUUUGCUUAGGGUCCCACCAGGCCAAAAUCAAGGUGCUGGCAGGGCUGUGUCCCUUUCUGGAGGCUCCAGGGAGGAUUCUAUUUCCAAGCUUACUUAUAUUGUUGGGAGAAU
RNAcentral lists this long non-coding RNA (1402 nucleotides) under Homo sapiens (human). Its description in RNAcentral is "HSALNT0247871". Lineage: Eukaryota; Metazoa; Chordata; Mammalia; Primates; Hominidae. The record is from RNAcentral.